Molecule: small RNA, 149 nt
Filed under: Arabidopsis thaliana (thale cress)
Lineage: Eukaryota; Viridiplantae; Streptophyta; Magnoliopsida; Brassicales; Brassicaceae
Description: ATSL083590
Source: RNAcentral
AGCUUUAUUUUUAGGUCUUCUACUUUUGCCCUACAAUUCAAGGAGAUUUUUGGAGAGUUCUUGAGAGAUUUCAAAACCUUGUAGAGAAAAGAUCUUUUCCUAAACUCUAUUCUUCUUUUGAUUUCUUAUAUGCAAUCUUAUACAAACAU